AUACAGUAAGGUGAUGAGGUUCCACCUAUAACUGCCAUUUUUUUUAAAAAAAUCUGGAUGAUGACUUCUACUAUCAA
This 77-nucleotide non-coding RNA is filed under the name Methanobrevibacter arboriphilus. RNAcentral describes it as "Fluoride sequence". It matches the Rfam family "Fluoride riboswitch aptamer (crcB RNA motif)". The record is from RNAcentral. Lineage: Archaea; Methanobacteriati; Methanobacteriota; Methanobacteria; Methanobacteriales; Methanobacteriaceae. RNAcentral also lists the same sequence under 1 other name.